CAGCGAGGGCGGGAAGAGACCCAGACCGAGGGGAACUGCCAAGCAGUUCUUGGGGCUCCAGACAAAGAGGACAGAGGGUCCCUGCUGCAGAAGGGAGUACACAGACCUCCAGCCCUGGUGAGCAGACUUCCUCACUUUGCUCACGCCUCCUCCACUACCAGAAACUAAAACUUGGCCGAGGACAGGUCCCAGUUCAACCAGAUGCCCAGAGAAAACAGCUGUAUUUAGCGGAAAAAGAAAUCCAUGCCAGCUGUUUACACAAACUAAACAAAAGACAGGAAUGA
RNAcentral lists this long non-coding RNA (284 nucleotides) under Fukomys damarensis (Damara mole-rat). Its description in RNAcentral is "lncRNA (ENSFDAG00000031810.1)". The record is from RNAcentral. Lineage: Eukaryota; Metazoa; Chordata; Mammalia; Rodentia; Bathyergidae.